CCUCGGAAACCGGGAUUAAUACCGCNUAAAAAUCGUAGAAACAACAAUGGUUUCAACGGUCAAAGAUUUAUCGGUCAUAGAUGGGCUCGCGUCUGAUUAGCUAGUUGGUGAGAUAACAGCCCACCAAGGCGACGAUCAGUAGCCGGUCUGAGAGGAUGAACGGCCACAUUGGAACUGAGACACGGUCCAAACUCCUACGGGAGGCAGCAGGU
RNAcentral lists this ribosomal RNA (212 nucleotides) under uncultured Finegoldia sp. Its description in RNAcentral is "partial 16S ribosomal RNA". It matches the Rfam family "Bacterial small subunit ribosomal RNA", at positions 148 to 354 of the family's 1533-position model. The record is from RNAcentral. Lineage: Bacteria; Bacillati; Bacillota; Tissierellia; Tissierellales; Peptoniphilaceae.